Long non-coding RNA from Lacerta agilis (Sand lizard), 631 nucleotides. RefSeq lists it as uncharacterized. The record is from RefSeq and is a predicted model, not a curated record. NCBI's taxonomy places the organism in Eukaryota, Metazoa, Chordata, Lepidosauria, Squamata, Lacertidae. The transcript is spliced from 3 exons.
CUUUUGAAGACAACCCCACCUGCUCUAAAUCGCUUCCUAAACCUCCCACCCCAAACUGCCUUCUUUAUUCUGGCUUCUACGCAGACGAAACGGGACAUGCCAGGAUUCCUAUGGCAGCCUCGCCUCCAAGCUUAAACCUGUGCCUUUCCUUAUCCAGGCGACUGCAGCGCAAGGAGGUAUAUGAGAGAUUCAAUUAUUGGUUGUUUGUUUAAAUAAAAUUUCAAUCGGGAAUAUUUCUGACUUUCCAUUGGGACAAUUAAAACGGGGAAUCGAUCCGUGAGCAAUUAAGGCCGCUAUCACCGGAGUCGUUCGCAUUUAUAAUAUUGUUUUCCCCCCGAAUAUCGUCGACUUAAGCGACGGUGGCUGACGUCACACUCCUUGGGACCUGCUUGGUUUGAAAAGAGGCUCCUGGAAGGAAGUUGCGUGAAAGCCAUGCAACUCGCUCCCACCUGGAUCUCUGUCGAGGCUCCGCUGGGCCAGGCAGCGGUCCUCGCCAUCCCAAGGGGAAGAAGGGUUUGGAAUCGUUCACAGCAUUAACCCCAGUCCCUUGAACCGACUCCUUAUGUCAUUUGCUGCUUUACGCUCAACUCCAAUAAAUCAGGCACCCACAAAAACCGUUUGAGACAUUAGA